UUACUUACCUGGCAGGGGAGACACCAUGAUCAAGGAGGCGGUUCACCCAGGGCGAGGCUCGUCCAUUGCACUCCAGCCGUGCUGACCCCUUUGAAUUCCCCAAAUGUGGGAAUCUUGACUGCAUAAUUUGUGGUAGUGGGGGACUGCAUUCGCACUCUCCCCUG
Small nuclear RNA from Cyprinus carpio carpio, 164 nucleotides. Its record names the gene U1. It matches the Rfam family "U1 spliceosomal RNA". From Rfam's summary of the family: U1 is a small nuclear RNA (snRNA) component of the spliceosome (involved in pre-mRNA splicing). NCBI's taxonomy places the organism in Eukaryota, Metazoa, Chordata, Actinopteri, Cypriniformes, Cyprinidae. The record is from Ensembl.